Paramuricea clavata is the source of this 1347-nucleotide non-coding RNA. The record is from the annotation of a GenBank genome assembly. Lineage: Eukaryota; Metazoa; Cnidaria; Anthozoa; Malacalcyonacea; Plexauridae.
UAAUUAUUUGUCUAAACUGAAGAUUAAUUGUGAUUAUGCCAGUCGAGGAUGUCCUGAGUUUACCUGUGUUGAAGGUCUCAAAACUCAUGUUGCCAAUUGCGAGUUUGCUCCUGUGUUUUGUUCAAAUGAAAAUUGUGGCAUGGAGAUCAACAAGCAAGACCAGGUCCAUCACGAGACUGAAGUAUGUGGAUAUAGGAAAGUGAAAUGCCAUGAUUGUGGACAGACACGAAAAGUUGUGGGAACAUUGGAAGAAACAUUGAUGGAACUGGACGGGAAAGUGCAAACUGUGGAGAAAAAGAUGGAAAACAACCAUGCUGAAAUGAAAAAGAUUGUCGGGAAAUUAGAAGGCAGUUUAGUGGGAAUGAAUAAGAGGAUCAAUGAAGCAACGAAGAACCGCCAUGAUGAAAUAGUAGAAGCAAUAAAGAACCGCCAUGAUGAAAUGAAACAAGAGCAACACAAAGAAAUGGGAAUUUUGAAAGAAAAUCUUUCCAAAGUGAACAAAGACGUGGAUGAAGUCAAAGUCAUGAUCAGUCAAAUGUUAGAGAAGUUUAAUAUGCUUGAACUGCUCAGCAAACUGCCAUCUACGACCGAGGGAAUGUUCAACACACCUAAGGAAGAUAUUUUGAUUGCAGGUGGUAAUAAUGGCAACACGUUGGAAACUGCAGAAAUAUUUUCCUGGGAGAAAAACGGUUGGUAUGAAAUUUCGCAAAUGAAUAAAAGACAUUUUGGAGCUUCAUCAUUUAUUUAUAAUGAUCAGCUAUUUGUUGUUGGGGGAACGGGUACUAAGACAAUAGAAACCUUGGAUCUCAAUGAAUUACCUUUGAAAUGGAUGGAAUUUUCUGACGAACUUCCUUAUGAAAGUUAUGAUCAUCAAACUGUCGUUCACCAACAGCGUGUCAUUCACAUUGGUGGAUAUAAUCAUGAUGAGCGUAAAAAGUCUAACGUGAUUAGUGAAUUGCAACUUACCUCACCUUGCACACUGAAAGAGUUGUGCCAAAUGCCCCAGCCACGAAAUUGUCAUGGCGCUGAGGCGUUUGAAGAUAAAGUCUUGAUCUUGGGAGGACAAGAUGACAAUGAUGUUUCAGACAAUGUGUUGGAGUUUGAUCCAAAGAAGAAUAAAUGUAAGGAGCUGCCAUCAUUACCACAUCCCAUGGCAGCAAUGGCCACAGUUCGCUGGAGAGAUCAAGUAGUUGUACUUGGAGGUCAUGAUAAGGAUUAUGAAGUUUUGAAUGAUGUUUUCAUGUAUGACUGCAAGACGAGCAAGAUCACAGCCUUACCAUCCAUGUUGGAGAAGAGAUCUGAAUGUUGUGCAGUUAUUACUGGAAAUAUAAUUGUAGUCAUGGGAGG